GCCGGGGAGGAUUAUUUUAUGACACUUUACCAACUUGUCCAUUCUUUUACGAAAAUAACCUUUCGACAACUGAAAGAUACUCUAAGGCUAUUUCGGCAAGAACGGUUUAAGACGCGGCCGAAGCUGGCUCGGCUUAUUAUGACAAAAUUCAAACGAUAUUCACCUGACCGCCGACUCUUUGUUUUUUUUUUCUUUUAAAAUUAUAAUAAAAACCUGGUGUUGCAAACACGGUCCUUCAGCGCCUCGGGGACGAAGAUUUAUAGGGCUGUGUGGGUCAACUAGACCAAAAAUCCUAAACAUGACCCAAAAGUGGUUGUUUAUGCAAAGUCAGCCUUCCGGCGUUCCUUUCGGGAACAUUCGGCUAUUUAUGACAUAACAACAUCACAUGACUUAUUUAUGACUCUUUUUAUCAUUUUUCAAAUUAGAAAACUCAAUAUUGCAAACACGACCUUUCAACGUCUCGGGGACGAAGAUUUUUAAGGCUGUGUGGGUCAACUGGACCAAAUCUUAGACAUGACCCAAAAGGUGGCUGUUUAUGCAAAGUCAGCCUUCCGGCGUCCCUUUCGG
Molecule: long non-coding RNA, 567 nt
Filed under: Nicotiana tabacum (common tobacco)
Lineage: Eukaryota; Viridiplantae; Streptophyta; Magnoliopsida; Solanales; Solanaceae
Description: long non-coding RNA (NTAB_LNC000137)
Source: RNAcentral